Cyprinus carpio carpio is the source of this 1098-nucleotide long non-coding RNA. NCBI's taxonomy places the organism in Eukaryota, Metazoa, Chordata, Actinopteri, Cypriniformes, Cyprinidae. The record is from Ensembl.
CUGACAUCCAUUUUGGUUUAAAUGAAUGGUUCUAGCAUAUAGAAAGUGUUAGAUGUUGAAUAGUUAGUAUCCUAUAGUGAACUGGUGUUAGCUGUUGGAUUGUAAGUGUUCUACAUCACACAGUUAAUGAAUGGUUUUGCAUUUUAGAGUAGAAAUGUUGUUGAAUGAUGUUCUAUAGUUCAUUUUCUAGAGCAGAAGUAUUGGUUGAUGCUUUGAAACUGUAUUGAUUGUGAAAAGCACUAUUGAACUGAAGAGGGCUGUUUGAUAAACGGUAAGUGUUCUAGAGUACAGACACAUUGAUUGACAAAUGUUUGGUUUUCUAGACUACAAUGAUGUUAGCCGUGACACUAGACGCAUUCAUCCAGGUUUCCUGUUCAGAGUGGCGUUUUCUUCAGUCUCCUGAGCAACAUAAUGUACAGCGUCGAGCUCCGGCAGCAGAACAGAGCGAAGAAAGAGGUUUUAUGGUGACAGGUGGGAGAGAGGGAUACAGAGAGAGAGACUGUGAGGUGUGUGUGUGUGUGUGUGUGUGUGUGUGUGUGUGUGUGUGUGUGUGUGUCUUAUUUAUAGAGGAGAUUUUGGGAGCCGCAUCAGGUGUGGCGUUCGCUAUGCAUCACGGAGGAAAGCCCACUCAGGGUCCCUAGAAACACACGGUAAUUGAGUUCAUUGAUCAAAUUCAGAACGACACGAGAGAGAGAGAGAGAGAGAGAGAGAGAGAGAGAGAGAGAGAGAGAGUCAGGCUUCUUGUCUUACAGUGUGUCAGCUGCUGCUCUGAACGGCAAGAUUUCAGCUUUAUAAAAACAGUAAAAUCAGAAAAACUGAUAUCAGACUAAUAAUUCUGAUUAGAAGAGCAAUGUUUGACUUCUGUAUUAUUGCACCAAAUUGAUUUGUAACAGCAAACAAUUACAGUUAUAAUAAGCUAUAAUGCUGGGAGAAAAAAAUUGUUUAUUAAUUUUAUAUAUAUAUUAAUGUAACUAUUGAACAUCAAUGAUUUUGUAAUAGUAACAUUGCCUUAUAAAAAGCUAUGAGAGCUACUGUAAAAUCACUGUAACAUACAGCCUUUACUGAUGCAUUUCUUAUGUUUUUGAAAGUCUCUUCUUC